GAUGAACGCUGGCGGCGCGCCUAACACAUGCAAGUCGAACGAUUAAAGCACCUUCGGGUGUGUAUAAGUGGCGAACGGCUGAGUAACACGUGGGCAACCUGCCCCUCUCAUUGGGAUAGCCACGGGAAACCGUGGAUAAUACCGAAUACUUCGGGACUUCCGCAUGGAAGACUCGAGAAAGCUCCGGCGGAGAGGGAUGGGCCCGCGGCCUGUUAGCUUGUUGGUGGGGUAAUGGCCUACCAAGGCAAUGAUGGGUAGCUGGGUUGAGAGACCGACCAGCCAGAUUGGGACUGAGACACGGCCCAGACUCCUACGGGAGGCAGCAGUGGGGAAUCUUGCACAAUGGGCGAAAGCCUGAUGCAGCGACGCCGCGUGCGGGAUGAAGGCCUUCGGGUUGUAAACCGCUUUCAGCAGGGACGAGGCGAAAGUGACGGUACCUGCAGAAGAAGCCCCGGCUAACUACGUG
Molecule: ribosomal RNA, 466 nt
Filed under: uncultured bacterium
Lineage: Bacteria
Description: partial 16S ribosomal RNA
Rfam family: Bacterial small subunit ribosomal RNA
Source: RNAcentral